Molecule: ribosomal RNA, 468 nt
Filed under: uncultured bacterium
Lineage: Bacteria
Description: partial 16S ribosomal RNA
Rfam family: Bacterial small subunit ribosomal RNA
Source: RNAcentral
GACGAACGCUGGCGGCGUGCUUAACACAUGCAAGUCGAACGGAAAGGCCCUGCUUUUGUUGGGUGCUCGAGUGGCGAACGGGUGAGUAACACGUGAGUAACCUGCCCUUGACUUUGGGAUAACUUCAGGAAACUGGGGCUAAUACCGGAUAGGAGCUCCUGCUGCAUGGUGGGGGUUGGAAAGUGUCGGCGGUUGGGGAUGGACUCGCGGCUUAUCGGCUUGUUGGUGGGGUAGUGGCUUACCAAGGCUUUGACGGGUAGCCGGCCUGAGAGGGUGACCGGCCACAUUGGGACUGAGAUACGGACCAGACUCCUACGGGAGGCAGCAGUGGGGAAUAUUGCACAAUGGGCGGAAGCGUGAUGCAGCAACGCCGCGUGCGGGAUGACGGGCUUCGGGUUGUAAACCGCUUUCGCAGGUGACGAAGCGUGAGUGACGGUAAUGGGUAAAGAAGCACCGGCUAACUACGUG